This 460-nucleotide ribosomal RNA is filed under the name uncultured bacterium. Its description in RNAcentral is "partial 16S ribosomal RNA". It matches the Rfam family "Bacterial small subunit ribosomal RNA", at positions 338 to 795 of the family's 1533-position model. The record is from RNAcentral.
CCUACGGGAGGCAGCAGUGAGGAAUAUUGGUCAAUGGGCGCGAGCCUGAACCAGCCAAGUAGCGUGAAGGAUGACUGCCCUACGGGUUGUAAACUUCUUUUAUAAAGGAAUAAAGUGAGGCACGUGUGCCUUUUUGUAUGUAUUUUAUGAAUAAGGAUCGGCUACCUCCGUGCCAGCAGCCGCGGUAAUACGGAGGAUCCGAGCGUUAUCCGGAUUUAUUGGGUUUAAAGGGAGCGUAGGUGGGUUGGUAAGUCAGUUGUGAAAGUUUGCGGCUCAACCGUAAAAUUGCAAUUGAUACUGGCAGCCUUGAGUACAGUAGAGGUAGGCGGAAUUCGUGGUGUAGCGGUGAAAUGCUUAGAUAUCACGAAGAACUCCGAUUGCGAAGGCAGCUUACUGGACUGCAACUGACACUGAUGCUCGAAAGUGUGGGUAUCAAACAGGAUUAGAUACCCCAGUAGUC